GACGAACGCUGGCGGCGUGCCUAAUACAUGCAAGUAGAACGCUGAAGAGAGGAGCUUGCUCUUCUUGGAUUAGUUGCGCACGGGUGAGUAACGCGUAGGUAACCUGCCUUGUUGCGGGGGAUAACUAUUUGAAACGAUAGCUAAUACCGCAUAACAAUUGAUGACACAUUUCUUUUAUUUGAAAUGGGCUAUUUCUCCACUAUAAGAUGGACCUGCGUUGUAUUAUGUAGUUGGCGAGGUAAUGGCUCACCUAGGCGAAGAUACAUAGCCGACCUGAGUGGGGGAUCGGCCAAAAUGGGACUGAGAAAAGGCCAAGAAGGCUACGGGGGGCAGCAGAAGGGAAUCUUCGGGAAUGGGGGCAAACCUGACCGAGCAAAGCCGCGUGAGUGAAGAAGGGUUUCGGAUCGUAAAGCUCUGUUGUAAGUCAAGAACGGGUGUGAGAGUGGAAAGUUCACACUGUGACGGUAGCUAACCAGAAAGGGACGGCUAACUACGUG
RNAcentral lists this ribosomal RNA (497 nucleotides) under uncultured bacterium. RNAcentral describes it as "partial 16S ribosomal RNA". It matches the Rfam family "Bacterial small subunit ribosomal RNA", at positions 28 to 507 of the family's 1533-position model. The record is from RNAcentral.